RNAcentral lists this ribosomal RNA (446 nucleotides) under uncultured bacterium. RNAcentral's name for it is "bacterial SSU rRNA". It matches the Rfam family "Bacterial small subunit ribosomal RNA", at positions 329 to 792 of the family's 1533-position model. The record is from RNAcentral.
UGCCAGACUCCUACGGGAGGCAGCAGUGGGGGAUAUUGCACAAUGGGGGAAACCCUGAUGCAGCGACGCCGCGUGAGUGAAGAAGUAUUUCGGUAUGUAAAGCUCUCUCAGCAGGGAAGAAAAUGACGGUACCUGACUAAGAAGCCCCGGCUAACUACGUGCCAGCAGCCGCGGUAAUACGUAGGGGGCAAGCGUUAUCCGGAUUUACUGGGUGUAAAGGGAGCGUAGACGGCGAUGCAAGCCAGGAGUGAAGGCCCGGGGCCCAACCCCGGGACUGCUCUUGGAACUGCGUGGCUGGAGUGCAGGAGGGGCAGGCGGAAUUCCUGGUGUAGCGGUGAAAUGCGUAGAUAUCAGGAGGAACACCGGUGGCGAAGGCGGCCUGCUGGACUGCAACUGACGUUGAGGCCCGAAAGCGUGGGGAGCAAACAGGAUUAGAUACCCUUGUA